GUCUCUGUAGCCCAGCGGUUUGCACUGGCCCUAACAUCUGACCAUCCAGCAGGUCGUGGGUUCGAUUCCCACUGGCCCCA
This is a non-coding RNA of Puccinia graminis f. sp. tritici CRL 75-36-700-3, 80 nucleotides long. The record is from the annotation of a RefSeq genome assembly. Lineage: Eukaryota; Fungi; Basidiomycota; Pucciniomycetes; Pucciniales; Pucciniaceae.